UCUCCGUAGGUGAACCUGCGGAGGGAUCAUUACUGAGUGAGGGUCUCCGGGCCCGACCUCCAACCCUUUUGUGAACCACCUCGUUGCUUCGGGGGCGACCCUGCCGUUCGCGGCGUGGGGCCCCGGGUGGACCAUUCAAACACUGCAUCUUUGCGUCUGAGUACACGAUUGAAUCAAUCAAAACUUUCAACAACGGAUCUCUUGGUUCUGGCAUCGUGAAGAACGCAGC
This 229-nucleotide unclassified non-coding RNA is filed under the name uncultured fungus. RNAcentral describes it as "sequence contains ITS1, 5.8S rRNA gene". Lineage: Eukaryota; Fungi. The record is from RNAcentral.